GUUAAUUUGGGUGGUCUGGGCUCCUUGUUCACAGCUUACUAUGCAAAGCAACAUCCUUUGCAGUAAAAAAUACUCUUAUUUUUAAGGAGUACAAUAUUAUGAAAAAGGUUAGAAAAGGCUAUUAUGAAGUAUCAGCACAAUUUACUGAGGAGGAAAACAAAAACACAGAUCAGGAAAUACAAUAAUAGAGUAAGUUUGUAAACAGAACCAGGUUUGAUUCAGAUCUGUUUGACUUCAAAGUCUUAAGUUCAUUUCCACUUUCCUCACAUCUCUAAAAUCAAAACUGAAAUUAGAAUAGGCCUGUCUUACAGAGAGUGCUUUGACAGAAAAGGGGGAAAUUAAAAGUGAGGGAAUAUACAUGUCUUAUAUCUACAAUAUCCCUGGUGCUUUACAUUAAGAAUAUUACUCAGUUUUCUUAAUAGCUUUAACUUAUACAUAAACUAAUAGUGGACAGCCUUGGGGUUUUUUAUGAAUUUAAUUUACUCUUUUAUAAUGUUCUCUGUAUGCCUCAUUAAUUCUAAGAACUGACUUAGUUCUUAGAAAACAGAGGAUUCAGUUCUCAAGAGAAAUGUUGAUGAUAGAAAUUGCACUUAAUCCCAAGCCUUUAGACUGUGUGAUGGUAUAAUUCAUUCAGUAUAUGACUGUACA
This 648-nucleotide long non-coding RNA is filed under the name Marmota monax (woodchuck). The record is from RNAcentral. Lineage: Eukaryota; Metazoa; Chordata; Mammalia; Rodentia; Sciuridae.